RNAcentral lists this ribosomal RNA (542 nucleotides) under Staphylococcus aureus. Its description in RNAcentral is "partial 23S ribosomal RNA". It matches the Rfam family "Bacterial large subunit ribosomal RNA", at positions 552 to 1095 of the family's 2925-position model. Lineage: Bacteria; Bacillati; Bacillota; Bacilli; Caryophanales; Staphylococcaceae. The record is from RNAcentral.
GAAACCGUGUGCUUACAAGUAGUCAGAGCCCGUUAAUGGGUGAUGGCGUGCCUUUUGUAGAAUGAACCGGCGAGUUACGAUUUGAUGCAAGGUUAAGCAGUAAAUGUGGAGCCGUAGCGAAAGCGAGUCUGAAUAGGGCGUUUAGUAUUUGGUCGUAGACCCGAAACCAGGUGAUCUACCCUUGGUCAGGUUGAAGUUCAGGUAACACUGAAUGGAGGACCGAACCGACUUACGUUGAAAAGUGAGCGGAUGAACUGAGGGUAGCGGAGAAAUUCCAAUCGAACCUGGAGAUAGCUGGUUCUCUCCGAAAUAGCUUUAGGGCUAGCCUCAAGUGAUGAUUAUUGGAGGUAGAGCACUGUUUGGACGAGGGGCCCCUCUCGGGUUACCGAAUUCAGACAAACUCCGAAUGCCAAUUAAUUUAACUUGGGAGUCAGAACAUGGGUGAUAAGGUCCGUGUUCGAAAGGGAAACAGCCCAGACCACCAGCUAAGGUCCCAAAAUAUAUGUUAAGUGGAAAAGGAUGUGGCGUUGCCCAGACAACUA